GAUUCCACUUUAUAACUUUCAUACAUCCAGACCAGUGGACCAUUCAAGAAGGAGAGGAAGGUAGGGAAGAAAUAAGGAAGGAAGUAAGGAAGGAUACAUUUAUCUGUUGGAACAUGGUCACAGUCUCCGGGCGUACGAGCGACAGUGGGCGCGCGCACAAAUACACACAUCCCAGACAACAUGCACUAAACCUCUGUCCAAACUUUCCUCCCCUUCAGUCUGUGCGUGCCUCGCCAAGUCGUGAGAGCGCAAGAAGAACUUUCCGGCACGGCUUAAAUUCCGCUACCAAGGUGCACCAUGGGAAACAAGAUCAGCAGGAGACGGGACACCGCACCAGCCGAGCAGAAGGCUGCAGAGGCAAUCGACACGCAGGAAGCUGUGGUGGAGGCAGUAGCUGAUGCGCCAGUGGUGGUUGCAGAGGCGAAUGAACCAGUAGUAGAAUCAGUGCCAGAACCGGUACAGGAGCCAGAGCCCCCCAAGCAGCCAGAGACGGAGCCCUCAUUGGAGGAGCCGGUGAGCGUCCCACUAGUAGCCCCAGCACCGCCUGAACACGAGCCCCUGGUGUCAGUCAGCGAGCCAAAGCCAGUCGCCCCAGAGCCAAAGCCAGUCGCCCCGGAGCCAAAGCCAGUCGCCCCGGAGCCAAAGCCAGUCGCCCCGGAGCCAAAGCCAG
Oncorhynchus masou masou (cherry salmon) is the source of this 670-nucleotide long non-coding RNA. RefSeq lists it as uncharacterized. The record is from RefSeq and is a predicted model, not a curated record. The transcript is spliced from 2 exons. Lineage: Eukaryota; Metazoa; Chordata; Actinopteri; Salmoniformes; Salmonidae.